This 486-nucleotide ribosomal RNA is filed under the name uncultured bacterium. RNAcentral describes it as "partial 16S ribosomal RNA". It matches the Rfam family "Bacterial small subunit ribosomal RNA", at positions 29 to 507 of the family's 1533-position model. The record is from RNAcentral.
AACGAACGCUGGCGGCGCGUCUUAACCAUGCAAGUCGAGCGGCAGGCAGCAAUGCCGAGAGCGGCGGACUGGUGAGUAACACGUGGAUAACGUACCCCGAUGUCCGGGACAGCCUGUAGAAAUAGAGGGUAAUACCGGAUAGAUCACUGUUUACGUGAGGUAGACAGCGGGAAAGGAGCUUCGGCUCCGCGACGGGAUCGGUCUUCGGCCCAUCAGCUGGACGGCGGGGUAAAGGCCCGCCGUGGCGAGGACGGGUAUCCGGCCUGAGAGGGCGGACGGACACAUUGGGACUGAGAUACGGCCCAGACUCCUACGGGAGGCAGCAGGUAAGAAUAUUCCGCAAUGGGGGGAACCCUGACGGAGCGACGCCGCGUGAACGAAGAAGGCCGGAAGGUUGUAAAGUUCUUUUCUGUCCGAGGAAUAAGUUUCGGAGGAAAUGCCGGGACGGUGACGGUAGGGCAGGAAUAAGCACCGGCUAAUUACGUG